This 464-nucleotide ribosomal RNA is filed under the name Vreelandella stevensii. RNAcentral describes it as "partial 16S ribosomal RNA". It matches the Rfam family "Bacterial small subunit ribosomal RNA", at positions 338 to 795 of the family's 1533-position model. Lineage: Bacteria; Pseudomonadati; Pseudomonadota; Gammaproteobacteria; Oceanospirillales; Halomonadaceae. The record is from RNAcentral.
CCUACGGGGUGCAGCAGUGGGGAAUAUUGGACAAUGGGCGAAAGCCUGAUCCAGCCAUGCCGCGUGUGUGAAGAAGGCCUUCGGGUUGUAAAGCACUUUCAGUGGGGAAGAAAGCCUUGGGGCUAAUACCCUCGAGGAAGGACAUCACCCACAGAAGAAGCACCGGCUAACUCCGGCCAGCAGCCGCGGUAAUACGGAGGGUGCGAGCGUUAAUCGGAAUUACUGGGCGUAAAGCGCGCGUAGGCGGUCUGAUAAGCCGGUUGUGAAAGCCCCGGGCUCAACCUGGGAACGGCAUCCGGAACUGUCAGGCUAGAGUGCAGGAGAGGAAGGUAGAAUUCCCGGUGUAGCGGUGAAAUGCGUAGAGAUCGGGAGGAAUACCAGUGGCGAAGGCGGCCUUCUGGACUGACACUGACGCUGAGGUGCGAAAGCGUGGGUAGCAAACAGGAUUAGAUACCCUGGUAGUC